RNAcentral lists this ribosomal RNA (1509 nucleotides) under uncultured fungus. RNAcentral describes it as "eukaryotic LSU rRNA". The stretch from base 877 to 1509 matches the Rfam family "Eukaryotic large subunit ribosomal RNA", at positions 1 to 648 of the family's 3401-position model. Lineage: Eukaryota; Fungi. The record is from RNAcentral.
AAGUCGUAACAAGGUUGGGGGCGAUGACCUUCCGGGGCCACCUGCCGAAGCCUUUGCAGCCCCUCGCGGGCAGGCCGCGCGCGACUCUAAAGAAGCCGGCCGUCGCAAGUCGGGCGCUCGCGCCCGGCGACACUUUCGAACUGCGGGGACCCCCGAAAGCGGGGCGCUACUAACCGGGCCGGGGAGACCCGCCCGGGGCCCACGGUAACGACGUGGGGUACAGUAACAAGGCGCCCCGAUGACACGGGCUAUCCGCAGCCAACUCCCAGGGCGCGCGCCCGGGAAGAGGUUCACAGACUAGGCGGAAGUGGGUGGGCACAGUGCCCGCUUAAGAUAUAGUCGGGCCCCUGCGGGAGACCGCCCGGGGAAAGCAGCCGUUCCGUAGGUGAACCUGCGGAAGGAUCAUUACCGUGAAGCGGCCGGGUCCGCCCGUGCCCGCAUCCAAAACCGUGUCUACCAGCCAGUUGCUUCGGCGGGACGCCGGGCUCCCCUCCCCGGGGAACCCCGGCGGCCGCGGCCCGCCAGAAUGCCCCUAGAAUCAGUGUCACCCGCAGUCAGAUGAGAGCGAGAAACGAAACAAAACUUUCAACAACGGAUCUCUUGGUUCCGGCAUCGAUGAAGAACGCAGCGAAAUGCGAUAAUUAAUGUGAAUUUGCAGAAUUCAGNNGAAUCAUCNAGNCUUUGGAACGCACAUUGCGCCCGCUGGCAUUCCGGCGGGNACGCCUGUUCGGANCGUCAUUNNACCCCUCAGCUCGGCUUGUCUUGGGGCCCUGCCGUCCCGCACGCCCCAAAAUCGUCGGCGGAACGGGGCACCCCCCCCAGCGUGACGCACUCGNGCAACNGGGGGGUACCGCCCGCCUCACCAAGCCUACAAGUUGACCUCGGAUCAGGCGGGGAUNCCCGCUGAACUUAAGCAUAUCAAUAAGCGGAGGAAAAGAAACCAACGGGGAUUGCCUCAGUAACGGCGAGUGAAGCGGCACCAGCUCAAAUUUGAAAUCUGACCCCCUCGGGGCCCGAGUUGUAAUUUGAAGAGGAAGCUUCGCGAACGGCACCGCCCCAAGUUCCUUGGAACCGGACGCUACAGAGGGUGAGAGCCCCGUAUCCGGGCGGAUGCCCGCCGCGUGUGAAGCUCCUUCGACGAGUCGAGUUGUUUGGGAAUGCAGCUCUAAUCGGGAGGUAAAUUCCUUCUAAAGCUAAAUACCGGCCGGAGACCGAUAGCGCACAAGUAGAGUGAUCGAAAGAUGAAAAGCACUUUGAAAAGAGAGUUAAAAAGCACGUGAAAUUGUUGAAAGGGAAGCGCUCGCGACCAGACUCGGCCGGGGGGGAUCAGCCGUCGCUCUGCGGCGGCGCCCUCCCCCUCGACCGGGCCAGCGUCGGUUUGGGCGGCCGGACAAAGGCGGCGGGAACGUGGCUCCUCUCGGGGAGUGUUAUAGCCCGUCGCGGAAUGCGGCCAGCCCGGAUCGAGGACCGCGCUUCGGCUAGGACGCUGGCGUAAUGGUCGUGAGCGGC